AUUGAACGCUGGCGGAAUGCUUUACACGUGCAAGUCGAACGGCAGCACGGACUUCGGUCUGGUGGCGAGUGGCGAACGGGUGAGUAAUGUAUCGGAACGUGCCCAGUCGUGGGGGAUAACGUAGUGAAAAUUACGCUAAUACCGCAUACGAUCUAUGGAUGAAAGCGGGGGAUCGCAAGACCUCGCGCGAUUGGAGCGGCCGAUAUCAGAUUAGGUCGUUGGUGGGGUAAAGGCCCACCAAGCCAACGAUCUGUAGCUGGUCUGAGAGGACGACCAGCCACACUGUAACUGAGACACGGUCCAGACUCCUACGGGAGGCAGCAGUGGGGAAUUUUGGACAAUGGGCGAAAGCCUGAUCCAGCCAUUCCGCGUGCAGGAUGAAGGCCCUCGGGUUGUAAACUGCUUUUGUACAGAACGAAAAGGUUUCUACUAAUACUAGAAGCUCAUGACGGUACUGUAAGAAUAAGCACCGGCUAACUACGUGCCAGCCGCCGCCGUAA
RNAcentral lists this ribosomal RNA (500 nucleotides) under uncultured bacterium. RNAcentral describes it as "partial 16S ribosomal RNA". It matches the Rfam family "Bacterial small subunit ribosomal RNA", at positions 30 to 523 of the family's 1533-position model. The record is from RNAcentral.